AUGGCAGAUCAAGCAGUCGAGGGAGAAAACACAUCUGAAAAAGACCAGAAAAUGAGUCCAACAGAAGAGGAGAACUUCCAGGAUAUGCAGGAUAUGCAUAUGCAUGCAUCUGGAGAUGCUGAUGAACUUGACUCUGGAAGAUCCAAUCCCGUCGCUGAUUCUGGCAGAGAGAUGAGUGCAGUAGAAAUGUGUCAAACUGAAACCAAGUCUGAAGAGCGCGAUCUCAGAGAACCUGAACCCUCUGACUGUGAGGAGAUGCUUCACCAAGAAUCAGUGACUGAAUGCAUGCUCUCAGUGAGCAACUCUGUGAAGGAACCGGCUCUGGUGGAGAAGGAGCGAAUGACAGAGCCAGUGUCUGUAAUGGAGAGGGAGAAAACCAUGCGCAACCUGGUGGACAUACAAAGAAAAGUGGAGCAAAAGCAGCAGAGAGACAGAGAGAGACAGUUGCUGAGGGUGAGAAAAACCAACAGAGAAAUGUAAGUGAUCAGAGCCAAAGGUGUAUUCAGUUUCAUCGUUUUUUUUUCAGGUUCAGGAGCGCCUGUCCAUCAUCCAGAACAGAAAGGCAGAGGGAGAUCUGCAGGGCAUUAAGCACACAGACCGACUGAAGCAUCUUACCCAAGAUCUGCCAAAGGUAAACCAGAAGGACACCUACACAAAGGUGUGACGGCGACCGUUGCCUUUACAGUAUUUGUGUUACAGAAAGACAAGAUCCAGCAGAAAGCUGCUGUUCGAGAGCGACUGGAGCAGGUUAGAAGAGAGCGCUCCAGCAUCAUGCAGUCCAAAAGGGACAGGUAAACAGAACGGCUUCGACCUCAUCAGGAUGCUGAAAAAGUAACGCUGACCAACAAGAAAUCGGCAUUGUUUAUCCCUCAGGAAUACCGCGGGAUUUAAGGAACUGCUGGCUCCAGUGGCUCAUCACGACAUAGAGAGCGGAAGUGACUAAAAUGCUCCGUUUGAAGCCAAGAACGUUUUUGGUCCUGAUUUUAUACAAUAGUUCCUGUGUUAGUGUUAAUGGGCAUACAACUAAACGGUCUACUUAUUUUAUGGUAAAAAUGUAAUCACAAUCAAAGUAAUUUCAAAAAUAGAUGCUUUUACAACCAAAUGUAUUGCAUGCCACCAACUUUUCUGUUUUUGGUCAUGGAUACAUGGCUUUGAGGAAGAUGGAAGACAGUAACACCUCUUAUUUUAUACUACGAUGUUACAGCUUCUGUAGCAAUCAGUGUGAACUCUCCACCCAACAGUGGGUGGGAUAGGCUCCAGCAACCCUGUGACCCCAAAAGGGAUCAAACAGCUUUACAAAAUGGUUAAAUGAAUGUUAGCUUUUACACUGCGAUUUUGCUUUAAGAAUACUUUAUUAGGUCAAAAACGUAUCAUUUCUAUCACCAUGACCUCAAAUCUGUAGGUACAAACACUACCUUUAAAACUUAUAGCUGAAAAACCAAACAUUGUGUUGAAGCUGGACUUGGAGUUUUGAAUUAGACCCAAGAUUUUUGAUCCCUUCCAUUGAUAUGGAAUUGUGUAAUUUUGGAUCAUCACGCCUCAUAACUUUUUUCUUCCCUUGUCGAGUUGUGAACUCCUUGCUGGAUUAAAGUUUGACUUAAAGCGUUUUUUCCUCUUAAAGCAAAAUAUCUCAAAUCCCAACCUAAUCUUUAUUCUUUUCCAGUGUAAAAAUGUGCUUUACAGACUCAUGAGUAAUCCUGAACAUAGCCAGAGCUACAUCUUUCCACUAACGCAAUGAUUUGAAAUCCAACUAUUUUUUUUGGCUUCCACCAGGAAAAUUCUUAACAGUACAGGAUAAAUAUUGUUGUAAGGCAAAUUUCUGUUAAUUUGUAGUCGUUUAUUAUACAUUUUGACAACCAUAAGCAUCAACAAUUAUGUAAUUUGACAAGGAACCCCCCCUUAAACCAUGUGGACUUUUGCCCUUGUGGCCAUAUUUACAGAAACAAUGAAAUUCAGAGGUGCAUGUAAACAGUGACUCCACUAUCCUGACUUCAUGUUGACUAUUGCUGCUCGCAUACGGAGAACAGGAUGACACAGCUGUUGGUUUAAUGCACGGGGACCGGGUUUAUUUACAGGUAUUUUGAGAUUGGAAAAUUCCAAUAUUAAGGGGGGGUGGGGGCAUGUUUGACUAGCAACUCUGCAAUGGGAAGAUAUGUAUGAUACAUAGCUUUCCCUGCAGAACUGCAGGACAGCAGGACCCCCCCCCCUUUCCUCCCCAAAUUUCAGGUAAUUAGAGAAAAAGUUUCUAUAUCUGAUUCUUCUGUGUAAAUAAAAACAUUCUUUAAAUAACCAUAUUUGGUGUCCAAUCGCACUGCAGCUCAAUGCAAAACAGGAAUACCUACCACCCUAAGAAGCUGGAACAUUCCACAGCAGCUCGCCAACACAGUGAGCCACUGCACUGCACACAAACACGAGUACAGAACUGUAAGGUUUGCAGUUUCAGAACACAACAACAGUCACACCAAGGAAUUUCAGACAACAAAAAUAAACGUAGUGAUUUAUCUGGCCGGUGGUACACUCAUUUUUAAUGGACCUCACAGCUCGGAACAAAAGCAUUCCCUGCAAAUCAUGAAUCAAGUUUUCUCUAAGAUGGGAGUUUUAACCUCGAGUAUUCUUUCCAAAUGUGUUAAUAGGCCAGUUCUUGCAGCAGUAGAACUCUGCAUUUUAACAGCUGCGGUGUCAGACUUCAUUUGAAAGUUUCUGGAGCUUGAAUCUUAAUGAUCAAAAUCUUCAGCAAGAACGAACAUGCGCUUGUAUGUGAUUGACUAAACUACACAUUUUACAGGAUACUUCACAAUAUGUGCAUUUUGUACACUAGACUGUUGUUUUCCCCACAGUAAAACAUAAAAAGCUUAAAACGAGAACAAGGAACAAGCGAUGCAGAGCCAGUGAACAUCUCACAACUUAACUCUUCUUGCUGGAGAAAUUGAUGAACACUGAUGUCCAAUAACACAAAACGGCCACCGCACAUCUGGGAUCUCUUUGACUUGGGGGCACCAUAGAGCUGAGGAAGGAGGAUGAUUGCAUUUCUUUUUUUCACUGGACUCAAAGAAAAGAAAUCUGAAUCUAUACGCAACAAGUCUUGAUUUAGCAAUGGAAACGGAGGGCUGCGUGUGUCUGAUUUAGCUUUUGUAUAUGU
This 3139-nucleotide long non-coding RNA is filed under the name Oryzias sinensis (Chinese medaka). RNAcentral describes it as "lncRNA (ENSOSIG00000012919.1)". The record is from RNAcentral. Lineage: Eukaryota; Metazoa; Chordata; Actinopteri; Beloniformes; Adrianichthyidae.